This 400-nucleotide ribosomal RNA is filed under the name uncultured bacterium. RNAcentral describes it as "bacterial SSU rRNA". It matches the Rfam family "Bacterial small subunit ribosomal RNA", at positions 356 to 773 of the family's 1533-position model. The record is from RNAcentral.
GGGGAAUAUUGGACAAUGGGCGCAAGCCUGAUCCAGCCAUGCCGCGUGAGUGAUGAAGGCCCUAGGGUUGUAAAGCUCUUUCAGUGGGGAAGAUAAUGACGGUACCCACAGAAGAAGCCCCGGCUAACUUCGUGCCAGCAGCCGCGGUAAUACGAAGGGGGCUAGCGUUGUUCGGAAUUACUGGGCGUAAAGCGCACGUAGGCGGAUUUUUAAGUCAGGGGUGAAAUCCCGGGGCUCAACCCCGGAACAGCCUUUGAUACUGGAGAUCUUGAGUCCGAGAGAGGUGAGUGGAAUUCCGAGUGUAGAGGUGAAAUUCGUAGAUAUUCGGAGGAACACCAGUGGCGAAGGCGGCUCACUGGCUCGGUACUGACGCUGAGGUGCGAAAGCGUGGGGAGCAAAC